RNAcentral lists this ribosomal RNA (462 nucleotides) under Prevotella sp. oral taxon 289. RNAcentral's name for it is "bacterial SSU rRNA". It matches the Rfam family "Bacterial small subunit ribosomal RNA", at positions 28 to 478 of the family's 1533-position model. Lineage: Bacteria; Pseudomonadati; Bacteroidota; Bacteroidia; Bacteroidales; Prevotellaceae. The record is from RNAcentral.
GAUGAACGCUAGCUACAGGCUUAACACAUGCAAGUCGAGGGGAAACGACAUUGAAGCUUGCUUCGAUGGUCGUCGACCGGCGCACGGGUGAGUAACGCGUAUCCAACCUGCCUCUGACCAAGGGAUAACCCGUCGAAAGUCGGACUAAUACCUUAUGCAGUCGUCGGAAGUCAUCUGAUGACGACGAAAGAUUUCAUCGGUGAGAGAUGGGGAUGCGUCUGAUUAGCUUGUUGGCGGGGUAACGGCCCACCAAGGCUACGAUCAGUAGGGGUUCUGAGAGGAAGGUCCCCCACAUUGGAACUGAGACACGGUCCAAACUCCUACGGGAGGCAGCAGUGAGGAAUAUUGGUCAAUGGACGAGAGUCUGAACCAGCCAAGUAGCGUGCAGGAUGACGGCCCUAUGGGUUGUAAACUGCUUUUAUGCGGGGAUAAAGUGAGGGACGUGUCCCUCAUUGCAGGUAC